This is a long non-coding RNA of Thamnophis elegans (Western terrestrial garter snake), 238 nucleotides long. RefSeq lists it as uncharacterized. The transcript has 2 exons. The record is from RefSeq and is a predicted model, not a curated record. Lineage: Eukaryota; Metazoa; Chordata; Lepidosauria; Squamata; Natricidae.
CUGAGUCUCCGCAGGAGGUGGAGAGGCUGCGGGAGGAGAUCCAGACGUGGCCCAGAUACAGAAACCUGAAAUCUUUGCAAGCCAAAAGUUUCUCUUGGCGAAAAGAAAAAGUAGCGGAAUAAUUUGCAGGGAUCCGUCCUGCAGCCCCAGAAAUGGUCCCGUGAAGGAAAAGGCAUCUGGAGACCCACCAGAGUCCUUGGACCCAUCUGGAGUUGCUCUGCAGGACAGAGAAAGGAUG